RNAcentral lists this ribosomal RNA (252 nucleotides) under uncultured bacterium. Its description in RNAcentral is "partial 16S ribosomal RNA". It matches the Rfam family "Bacterial small subunit ribosomal RNA", at positions 524 to 776 of the family's 1533-position model. The record is from RNAcentral.
UACGUAAGGACCGAGCGUUGUCCGGAAUCAUUGGGCGUAAAGGGUACGUAGGCGGGUAUUUAAGUUAGAAGUCAAAGUCUAUAGCUAAACUAUAGUAAGCUUCUAAAACUGAAUAGCUUGAGAGAUGGAAGGGAAAGUGGAAUUCCUAGUGUAGCGGUGAAAUGCGCAGAUAUUAGGAAGAAUACCUGUGGCGAAGGCGACUUUCUGGCCAUUUUCUGACGCUGAGGUACGAAAGCGUGGGGAGCAAACAGG